CCUACGGGAGGCUGCAGUGGGGAAUAUUGGACAAUGGGGGCAACCCUGAUCCAGCCAUGCCGCGUGUGUGAAGAAGGCCCUCGGGUUGUAAAGCACUUUCAGUGAGGAAGAACGCCUGGUGGUUAAUACCCAUCAGGAAAGACAUCACUCACAGAAGAAGCACCGGCUAACUCCGUGCCAGCAGCCGCGGUAAUACGGAGGGUGCGAGCGUUAAUCGGAAUUACUGGGCGUAAAGCGCGCGUAGGUGGCUUGAUAAGCCGGUUGUGAAAGCCCCGGGCUCAACCUGGGAACGGCAUCCGGAACUGUCAAGCUAGAGUGCAGGAGAGGAAGGUAGAAUUCCCGGUGUAGCGGUGAAAUGCGUAGAGAUCGGGAGGAAUACCAGUGGCGAAGGCGGCCUUCUGGACUGACACUGACGCUGAGGUGCGAAAGCGUGGGUAGCAAACAGGAUUAGAUACCCUUGUAGUC
RNAcentral lists this ribosomal RNA (465 nucleotides) under Vreelandella stevensii. RNAcentral's name for it is "partial 16S ribosomal RNA". It matches the Rfam family "Bacterial small subunit ribosomal RNA", at positions 338 to 795 of the family's 1533-position model. The record is from RNAcentral. Lineage: Bacteria; Pseudomonadati; Pseudomonadota; Gammaproteobacteria; Oceanospirillales; Halomonadaceae.